GACGAACGCUGGCGGCGUGCUUAACACAUGCAAGUCGAACGGAAAGGCCCUGCUUUUGUGGGGUGCUCGAGUGGCGAACGGGUGAGUAACACGUGAGUAACCUGACCUUGACUUUGGGAUAACUUCAGGAAACUGGGGCUAAUACCGGAUAGGAGCUCCUGCUGCAUGGUGGGGGUUGGAAAGUUUCGGCGGUUGGGGAUGGACUCGCGGCUUAUCAGCUUGUUGGUGGGGUAGUGGCUUACCAAGGCUUUGACGGGUAGCCGGCCUGAGAGGGGGACCGGCCACAUUGGGACUGAGAUACGGCCCAGACUCCUACGGGAGGCAGCAGUGGGGAAUAUUGCACAAUGGGCGGAAGCCUGAUGCAGCAACGCCGCGUGCGGGAUGACGGCCUUGGGGUUGUAAACCGCUGUCGCCUGUGACGAAGCGUGAGUGACGGUAAUGGGUAAAGAAGCACCGGCUAACUACGUG
Molecule: ribosomal RNA, 468 nt
Filed under: uncultured bacterium
Lineage: Bacteria
Description: partial 16S ribosomal RNA
Rfam family: Bacterial small subunit ribosomal RNA
Source: RNAcentral